This 403-nucleotide ribosomal RNA is filed under the name uncultured bacterium. RNAcentral's name for it is "bacterial SSU rRNA". It matches the Rfam family "Bacterial small subunit ribosomal RNA", at positions 355 to 775 of the family's 1533-position model. The record is from RNAcentral.
UCGGGAAUUUUGGGCAAUGGGCGAAAGCCUGACCCAGCAACGCCGCGUGAAGGAUGAAGUUUUUCGGAAUGUAAACUUCGUAAAAAUAGGAAGAAUAAAUGACGGUACUAUUUGUAAGGUCCGGCUAACUACGUGCCAGCAGCCGCGGUAAUACGUAGGGACCAAGCGUUGUUCGGAUUUACUGGGCGUAAAGGGCGCGUAGGCGGCGCGACAAGUCACUUGUGAAAUCUUCGGGCUUAACUCGAAACGGUCAAGUGAUACUGUUGUGCUAGAGUACAGAAGGGGUAAUCGGAAUUCUUGGUGUAGCGGUGAAAUGCGUAGAUAUCAAGAGGAACACCAGAGGCGAAGGCGGAUUACUAGGCUGAUACUGACGCUGAGGCGCGAAAGCUAGGGUAGCAAACGG